GCCUUUUUUUCACAAUCUAACUGAAGGUCCAAGAGUGCUUUUAAACUUGAGGCUGCUUUAAACUUGCAGGCUGCUUCUCUUUUUUAUCCUAAAAAAUAAAAUUAACAAAAUUAACACUAAAACUUAAAAAAAGAGUUAAAAUCACUAAACAAAAUUGGGGUUUAUUUCUAGAUCUAGUGACUUUAUUUCAUCCAUAGUUGAUGCAAUAUUAACCACUUAUGCACACUGAAAUUUCUACAUUAAACAAAUCCUAAAUUUGAGCAAAUGAAUAAAUUUGGGGAGGAGGUUUUCACUAGCAACUUUUUGACCAUGGAUAUGUUGUAAAAAUUGGGCCUAUGACAUCAUAUCCAUAAUAAUAAACAACAUAUUAAUUUAUGUAAUUAAACAAAUAUGAAUGAUAAUAAAAUAAAAUAGAGAUUAUAGAACUUAUCUAUGAUUGUUGUAUAUCGUUGUCGGCACUACCGCGAAGUAAGCAACCACCGAGUCUCAAAUAGGGAGAAUAGUAAACCAUGAAAUAAUACCAUAUAUGAAUCGCGACGACUGCUAUGAGAAUUAGGUCACAAAACAUGGUA
RNAcentral lists this long non-coding RNA (572 nucleotides) under Trifolium pratense (red clover). Its description in RNAcentral is "long non-coding RNA (TPRA_LNC003221)". Lineage: Eukaryota; Viridiplantae; Streptophyta; Magnoliopsida; Fabales; Fabaceae. The record is from RNAcentral.